RNAcentral lists this unclassified non-coding RNA (68 nucleotides) under Pedobacter soli. Its description in RNAcentral is "Flavo-1 RNA". Lineage: Bacteria; Pseudomonadati; Bacteroidota; Sphingobacteriia; Sphingobacteriales; Sphingobacteriaceae. The record is from RNAcentral.
UCCUAAACCCGACAGCAGCGACAGCUCCGAUUUUUUUAUGAGGGCUAUAGCGAGUGGCGGGGCUACAU